RNAcentral lists this long non-coding RNA (780 nucleotides) under Vigna radiata. Its description in RNAcentral is "long non-coding RNA (VRAD_LNC007319)". The record is from RNAcentral. Lineage: Eukaryota; Viridiplantae; Streptophyta; Magnoliopsida; Fabales; Fabaceae.
UUAACCGUGUCCAAAUUUCAAAACUUAUAAACCCUAGAUCUUCAUUUCAGAUUUGCACCAAAACAUUUCAGAUCUGCACUUAAGGAUUUUAGAUCUGCACCAAAUAAUCUCAUAUCUGCGCUAAAGGAUCACAAAUCUACACCAAAGAGUCUCAGAUCUACCUCUCGUCGUCGCUCCCGAUGAGUUUCAGCCUCUCAAGCUCUGCGAAUGGGAUCACCUGUUGUUGGAAGAAGAAGCUGUCGCAGACAGAGCCAUGAAUGGUGGAAGAAGAAGCUACCGUGGACGGAACCGUGAAUGGUGGAAGAAGAAGCUGUCGCGGACGGAGCCGUGAAUGGUAGAAGAAGAAGUUGCAAACGCUGCGACGACAUCGUUGAAGACGGUGGUUCUUGUGGUUGGUAGGUGGCGGAGAUUCUUGUGUUUGGCAGGUGACGGAAAGAAGAAGGAAAAUGAAUAUUAAGAAAGAAGAAAGAAGAAGAAAGAAGAGAAAGAGGUUUGAGAGAGGAGAAGAAAAAUAAAAAAGUGACCUUUUCACUUCCUCUGCAACUUCAAAAUAAAAAAGUGACCUUUCACUUCCUCUUCCUCUGCAACGUCACCCUUUUAACUUCCUCUACAACUUCAAAAUAAAAAAGUGACCUUCCACUUCCUCUUCCCUGCAACUUCAAAAUAAAAAAGUGACCUUUCACUUCCUCUUCCUCUGCAACGUCAGAACUUUGAAUAUUUUACUUUGAAUAAAAAAGUUGAUUCUACUGUAGAUAGUAACGUUUAAAAUUUGAAUACCAU